GUGAAGAACGCAGCGAAAUGCGAUACGUAAUGUGAAUUGCAGAAUUCAGUGAAUCAUCGAGUCUUUGAACGCACAUUGCGCCCCCUGGUAUUCCGGGGGGCAUGCCUGUCCGAGCGUCAUUGCUGCCCUCAAGCACGGCUUGUGUGUUGGGCCCCGUCCUCCGAUUCCGGGGGACGGGCCCGAAAGGCAGCGGCGGCACCGCGUCCGGUCCUCGAGCGUAUGGGGCUUUGUCACCCGCUCUGUAGGCCCGGCCGGCGCUUGCCGAUCAACCCAAAUUUUUAUCCAGGUUGACCUCGGAUCAGGUAGGGAUACCCGCUGAACUUAAGCAUAUCAAUAAGCGGAGGA
RNAcentral lists this unclassified non-coding RNA (345 nucleotides) under soil metagenome. RNAcentral describes it as "partial contains 5.8S ribosomal RNA, internal transcribed spacer 2, and large subunit ribosomal RNA". The stretch from base 2 to 119 matches the Rfam family "5.8S ribosomal RNA", at positions 37 to 154 of the family's 154-position model. The record is from RNAcentral.